CAUGUCUUUUUGUUUAUGAUUUAAGGUUUGACCUGCUCAAUGAGGAUUUAAAUUGCCGCGGUAUUUUGACUGUGCAAAGGUAGCAUAAUAAUUAGUUUUUUUAUUGAAAGCUGGAAUGAAUGGUUGGACGAGAAAAUUACUGUCUCUAUUUAAUUUUUUAUUGAAUUUAACUUUUGAGUGAAAAGGCUCAAAUAUUUUUUAAAGACGAGAAGACCCUAUAGAGUUUUAUAUGAUAUCUAUUUAAAUUUUAUUUGGUUAUUAGUUUAUUUGAUUAGGUUUCUUAUUUGGUUGGGGUGACUAAAAGAUUUAUUAAACUCUUUUAUUUUUUUUUAUCAAUGAUUUUUGAUUUGUUAAUCUGAUAUUAUCAAAUUUAAUAUAAAUUACCUUAGGGAUAACAGCGUAAUUUCUUUUUAGAGUUCUUAUUGAAAUUGAAGUUUGCGACCUCGAUGUUGGAUUAAAAUUAAUUUUUGGUGCAGAAGCUGAAUGAUUGAGUCUGUUCGACUUUUAAAAUUUUACAUGAUCUGAGU
RNAcentral lists this ribosomal RNA (527 nucleotides) under Anoplischius sp. UPOL 001415. Its description in RNAcentral is "partial 16S ribosomal RNA". The stretch from base 391 to 527 matches the Rfam family "Bacterial large subunit ribosomal RNA", at positions 2473 to 2610 of the family's 2925-position model. Lineage: Eukaryota; Metazoa; Arthropoda; Insecta; Coleoptera; Elateridae. The record is from RNAcentral.